GUGUCAGCAGCCGCGGUAAUACAGAGAGUGCGAGCGUUAAUCGGAAUCACUGGGCGUAAAGCGCAUGUAGGUGGGUAUUUAAGUCGGAUGUGAAAUCCCUGGGCUUAACCUGGGAAUUGCAUUCGAUACUGGACAUCUAGAGUAUGGUAGAGGGAAGUGGAAUUUCCGGUGUAGCGGUGAAAUGCGUAGAUAUCGGAAAGAACAUCAGUGGCGAAGGCGGCUUCCUGGACCAAUACUGACACUAAAGUGCGAAAGCGUGGGUAGCAAACAGGAUUAGAUACCCUCGUAGUCC
This 292-nucleotide ribosomal RNA is filed under the name uncultured bacterium. Its description in RNAcentral is "partial 16S ribosomal RNA". It matches the Rfam family "Bacterial small subunit ribosomal RNA", at positions 505 to 796 of the family's 1533-position model. The record is from RNAcentral.